GCUCCACGUCACGUGCAUCUAAUGAAAACAGUAGUUUGAGCUCAACAAUGGUUGGAAAAAAAGGUUUGCACCAAUCUUUUAUUAUGAUAGUGUUGUAUAUUACCUAAUUGGUAAUUUUAUGCUAAUGAUACCUAAAUAUACAGGUUAUAACUCUAAAAAAAAGUUGUACAUACGUAGGACAGUUACAAUCUGAUUAUGUUCCCUUGAAGACUGUUCUUAAUUGUAAAUUUUGUGGUGCAAAAAAAUUUGAAUAUGAACCACAUGGAUUCUGCUGUAACAAUGGUUCGAUCAAGUUAGUUUCACAUGAGAUGCCUGCUGAACUACAAAAUUUAUAUUUGGGGACUACGGAAAAAUGUAAACAUUUUCAAACAUAUAUCAGAACAUACAAUAAUAUGUUUGUAUUUACAUCACUUGGUGUAAAUUAUGACAAAGAAUUAACAAAAAGAAAUCGUGGUGUUUAUACAUUUAGAUCCAAGGGAAGAUGUACCAUUUUAUAAAUGAUUUGCUGUCUCCAAGUGGAAUAUCAAGCAAUCUACAACUAUACUUCUACGACAACGAUAAUGAAUUAACUAAUAGAAUGGCUUGCUCUGAAAAAAUCCAUGAAUCAAUAGUAAAAAAACUAAUGAAUAUAUUGAGAACUAAUCCAUACUCUAUUUUCUUAAAGUCCCUAAUAGAUGUUCCAAAUCUAUCGAACUACAAUAUUGCACUUAAAUCUGACACAGGUUUGGAUCAAUGUGUAUACAAUCUUCCUACUACAUCAGAAGUUGCAGGAAUAUGGGUUGAAAAAGAAAUCACUGAAGUUAGUUCUGCACCUCAUAUUCGAAUCUACACUCAUAGCAAUAGAUCUCAAAUAGUGAACUACUAUUACGGAUGUUAUGAUCUGCUACAGUAUCCACUAUUAUUUCUAUAUGGUCAAAGUGGAUGGCACUGUGGCACUAAAAAAAUAAUACAACCAAAAAAUACUUCUAAACGUCGAGCCUAUUGUGAACACGAAGAAUUACCAAGUAUUAAAAAUAUGUGUUCUGUUGAUGGAUACCUUGACACAGAAGCUCAGAAUCUUGAAAAAGGAAAAUGAAAAAGAGAUAAUAUCUCUGUUCGUGAAUAUUACUGUUAUAAAUUCCAAAUGAGAGAAGAUGAAACAAAUGAAACUUUUCAUUCUGGAAGAUUAUUUCAACAAUAUUCAGUAGAUGAACACAUAAAACUUGAAACACAGAGAUUGGACUUUUUCUCAUUCAACCCAGAUCUCUUUAGGAUAGAAAUGCUACAAGGACUCAUUGAUGUUUUAAGACUUCCCUGAAAGAGACGCUUCAAAUAUAGGAAAACAAACAUUCCUUCCUAUUACUUUUAUAGGAGGACCAAGAGACAUGCGUCGACACUACAUGGAUGCUAUUUCUUUGGUACAACAAUUUGGAAAGCCUGAUCUAUUCGUAACGAUGACUUGUAACCCAUCUUGGCCCGAGAUAAAAGAGCACUUGCUAUCAACUGGCGAGGCACAAAACAUACCUGAUUUAAUUAGUCGAGUUUUUAGAGCAAAGAGAAGAACUAAAAACAGAUAUAUUAAAAAGAAAUAUCUUUGGAAAAGUUGCAGCUCUUAUGUAUACUGUAGAAUUUCAAAAACGUGGUUUACCACAUGCUCGUUUCCUUAUUAUACUUACUUAUGAAUACAUUAGUAAUGUUUCCAGGAGCCGAGGGUCUCCUGGAAACAGUCUCUCUGCCCCUCGGGAUAGGGGUAAAGUUUGCAUAUAUAUUACCCUCCCCAGACCCCACUUGUGGGAUUAUACUGGGUCGUUGUUGUUGUUGUACUUACUAAUGAAUACAAACUAUUCACUCCAGAAUCUCAUGACAAUAUUGUUUGUGCUGAGCUACCUGAUUGUAAAACUGAAGAAACCUUAUGUAAACUUGUUCUCCAACAUAUGAUGCAUGGACCUUGUGGUAAGUUAAACCCUACAAAUUCAUGGAUGCAAAGGAAAAAAGAUUGUUACAAAUUCAAAUAUCCAAGAAGCUUUGCUGAUCAAACAUCAAAAGGAAAAAAUUCUUACCCAAUUUAUAGAAGAUGGAACACAGGACUUGUGAAAGUCAAAGAUCACUAUUUUGAUAACUCAUGGGUUGUCCCUUAUAAUCCAUUCUUACUUGGAAAAUUCAAUUGUCACAUAAAUGUUGAAAUUUGUUCAGAUAUUAAAGCUGUUAAAUAUAUUUAUAACUACAUCUGCAAAGGACAUGAUAAAAUCGCAUUUCACAUACAUGAUAAUGUCGCAAAUGUUGAAGUAGAUGAAAUAAAAGAAUAUCAGUCUGCUCGAUGGGUAUCACCGCCUGAGGCUUUGGUUUCCCUAUUAAUGAAAUGACACCAGCUGUUUAUCAUCUUCAGUUACAUCUUGAAGGACAACAAUUUGUUUCUUUUAGGAGUGCAUCGAGUAUAAACUCAAUUAUGAAUAAUCCUAUGAUUAGAAAAACAAUGUUAACAGAAUUUUUUGAUAUGAACAAAACAAAUAAAGAUGCAAUAAAGCUCAAUCUACUGUAUAAAGAAUUUCCACAAUAUUUUGUAUGGUCAGUACAAUAUAAAAUGUGGACCCGUCGAACAAAGGGUAAUGUCAUUUGACGUGUUGUAACAUCUCAUCCAACAGAAGGUGAAAGAUAUUAUCUGAGAUUAUUAUUAAUGAAUAUAAGAGGACCAAAAUCAUAUGAAGACCUACUACCUGUAAAUGAAGUACGUUGCGAUACAUUCAGAGAAUCAGCUCAAAAAAGAGGGCUACUUCAUUGUGACAAUAACUUAGCUGAAUGUAUGGUAGAAGUUGAGAGUUAUCAAAUGCCAUGUAGCUUGAGACGCUUGUUUGCUACAUUGUUGAUAUAUUGUGAUCCUGCUAAUCCAAGAAAAUUGUGGGAGAAAUUCGAGGACUCUAUGUCUGAAGAUUUCAAAAUUUUACCAGACAUAGGAACAAAAAGUGUUCGAUAUAAAGUUUUAGACUAUCUCAAUGACAUCUUACAUUCGAUGGGACAUAACAUUAAUGAGUAUAAACUUAUCCCUGAAAAUUUUAAGGCUUCAACGGCUGCCAAAGGAGCAAGAGAAAUAUUCUUCGAAAGAAACAUAAUCAUUACUGAAAAAGAGCUAUUACUGCGACAAAAGUUGAAUCGUGAACAACACAUGGCAUACAAUGUGAUUAUAGAUAGAAUAUCUUCGAACAGAGCAGGAAAUUUUUUUGUUGACGGUCCUGGAGGAACAGGUAAAACUUUUUUAUAUCGUGCCUUAUUAGCUACUGUGCGAUCUAAAGGAUUUAUUGCUCUAGCAACAACAACCUCUGGAGUUGCGGCUUCGAUUCUUCCAGGUGACCGUACGGCUCAUUCCCGUUUUAAAAUUUCAUUGACAUUGAUGAAAACUUUAGUUGCAAUAGUAGCAAACAAAGUUGACUUGCCUGUUUGAUUCGAGAUGCAAAAUUAAUUAUAUGGGAUAAAGUAUCGAUGGCAAAAAAGAAAAUGAUUGAAACUUUUGAUCUACUUUUGAAAGAUCUCUUGAAUAUUAAUGUGCUUUUUGGUGGUAAAGUUGUUGUCUUUAGAGGUGAUUUUAGACAAACUCUACCAGUAGUUCGAAACGGAAAAAGAGAAGAUUUUAUUCAUAAAAUUUUAUUAUAUUCUGACAUUUGACUCCGACUUGAAAAAUUACAACUAUCAAAAAACAUGCGUGCAAAAACUGAUCCUGCCUUUUGUGAAUAUUUGAUGAGAAUAGAAAAUGGAAAAGAACCUCAUACUUCUGAAAACAAAAUUGAAAUUUCAAAUUCAUUUAUCGUCCCUUAUACUACUGAACUGGAAUCUUUGAAUGCAUUAUUUGAAACAACAUUUCCUAAUAUGCAUGCUUUCUUCUGUGAUGCAUCUUCUGUAACUUCCCGCGUUAUUUUGACGACGAAAAAUGAUUUUGCAAAUGAAAUAAAUGAUAUGCUUAUAGGAAAAUUUCCAAAAGAAGCUAAAACAUUUGUUGCAAUUGAUGAAACAUGUGAAUCGAAUGAUCAAAGUCAGUAUGAAGAUUUUUUACAUUCUUUAAAUCCUGCUGGUUUACCUCCUUACAGAUUAACAUUGAAAGAAAAUUGUCCAAUUAUACUACUACAAAAUUUGAAUCCUUGUGAAGGUUUAUGCAAUGGCACAAGAUUGACAUAUUGUGAUUUUAAAACACAUGUUAUAAGCGCAAAAAUUACAAGCAGUGACUUUAAAAUACACAUGUGUUCAUUUCGAGAAUACCAUUGAUAUCAUCAGAAGAUGAAAAAUCACCAGUGUAGUUUAAAAGAACACAAUUUCUAGUAAGACUGUGUUUUGCUAUGACUAUAAAUAAAGCACAAGGUCAAACAUUAGAUUUUGUUGGUAUAUAUUUACGAGAAUCAGUGUUUUUACAUGGCCAACUUUAAAGCUUCCAAUUGUGUUAAGAUAUUAAUUCGGCCGCCAAACCCAUAUCUAUAUACAAUAUAGUUUAUCGGCUGCCAAACCCAUAUCUAUAUACAAUAUAGUUUAUGAUGAAAUCAUUCAAAAGGCUUUCUUGUGAAUCUUUUACAUGUUACUGUAUACCAUCUGCUGAACUAAACAGAGUUGAACAUACAAUUUGACAUACAAUUUCACACAAGAAUACCCAUCUUUUUUGUGGAACAUGUACUUCGGAAUUCCCAGUAUAAAGUUGACGCACACAGUUGAAGCAUAUUUGUCAGUUUCUACACAUGAUGGUGAAAAGUCAUUUGUUGCUAUGUACAGGUUUGCCAAAUAGGCUAUACAACAACGUUUUUCUUCUCAUAUAUCCAUUGCUUUGAAAUUGCUUCCAAUCAGAUUGCUUAGAUUUUAUUUUAAUUUUGAUUCUCUAACUGUUCUUGCUGCUACCUCUUUUUGUAAUUUUCUAUAAUACGUUUAAUUUCCCCAGUGUACGAUGGCUAAGGGGUGUACUGCAAGUUCCUGAGAGUUCCUUUGAAAAGGGAGGAUUGAAACUAAUGGCUUAGGCUCUUUUAUUCAAUUACUGCUUUCCCCAAAAAUGAGUUCCCUCAAUUCAUUUAAUUUAUUACACAUUACUGCCUUUUUUAACUCCCUCAAUUACUGUCUUUUUAUACAUUAGUUUUGCUUUUUUGGUACAGAUUGCUAUCUUAAUUAUUUUCUAUGUUAGGAUUUUUGUGGAAUUAUGAUACAUAUGUUGGUCUAAACUAAUUUUGCCUCCAACUAUUUUGUCUUUUCUUUAGAGAUUAAUUUCUUUGCUGGUUACUUCUCAAGGAGGGAAUGGAUACAAUAAGCAAAUAUGUGACUGAAGUUGAUGGAGAAAAUGAUGAGUUAAUAUGAAGGUAGGAACAACUGAAGAUGAAGAAUCACACUCGACUAAAAUGGACCCUGUUCGGCCUGUUGAAUUGUUUGGGAGGGGAAUUUAUUUCAUUCAGCUUUCCUUCACCAUUUACUAGAUAUUAUUAUGCUAUGGUGGAAUGUGAUUCAAACGCUACAAUAGAUUAUCUUUACAAAACUUGCGACAGGGUUUUUGAAAAAACAUCAAACUAAUUAGAUUUAAGGUUUAUUCCAGACCCACGUCACAUUGCAACAGAGGUGUUAUAGAAUCAUCAUGGAGAAUUGCCUCCCAAAAUUGCCACAUUUCUAGAUUGUCUCAACUCUCAAGGAUGUUGGCAUGCCUAUAGUGGCAUUUUCUCUCAGAGAAGCAGCAAAUGUCCAUUUCGAAGUUUCUUAGCGUCUUACAAAAAUAGCUUCUGCGUGGUGUAGUGUUCUUUUUGGUUCAACUAGGACUGAUAAAUUUUCCUACCACUGUCUGCUGUUCACUGAUGAUUGUUGCCUCAACUGUCUAUGCUGGUUGAUACCACCCCAUUCGAACACUGAUUUGGGAAUGAGAAUUUAAAUUUUACCCUAUGGAUAAAACAUUUAUUACUAUUCAUAAAGAAAGAUUGUUUGUAAUGACAACAGUCUACUGUUUGGAUGCACAACUAUUUCUUCUA
This is a non-coding RNA of Nicotiana tabacum (common tobacco), 5951 nucleotides long. The record is from RefSeq and is a predicted model, not a curated record. Lineage: Eukaryota; Viridiplantae; Streptophyta; Magnoliopsida; Solanales; Solanaceae.